AGUGAACGCCGGCGGUAGGCCUAACACAUGCAAGUCGAACGGCAGCACAGGAGAGCUUGCUCUCUGGGUGGCGAGUGGCGGACGGGUGAGGAAUACAUCGGAAUCUACUUUUUCGUGGGGGAUAACGUAGGGAAACUUACGCUAAUACCGCAUACGACCUACGGGUGAAAGCAGGGGACCUUCGGGCCUUGCGCGAUUGAAUGAGCCGAUGUCGGAUUAGCUAGUUGGCGGGGUAAAGGCCCACCAAGGCGACGAUCUGUAGCUGGUCUGCGAGGAUGAUCAGCAACACUGGAACUGAGACACGGUCCAGACUCCUACGGGAGGCAGCAGUGGGGAAUAUUGGACAAUGGGCGCAAGCCUGAUCCAGCCAUACCGCGUGGGUGAAGAAGGCCUUCGGGUUGUAAAGCCCUUUUGUUGGGAAAGAAAUCCAGCUGGCUAAUACCCGGUUGGGAUGACGGUACCCAAAGAAUAAGCACCGGCUAACUUCGUGCCAGCAGCCGCGGUAA
Molecule: ribosomal RNA, 506 nt
Filed under: uncultured bacterium
Lineage: Bacteria
Description: partial 16S ribosomal RNA
Rfam family: Bacterial small subunit ribosomal RNA
Source: RNAcentral